CCCGACCUUUCCCCGUGUUUUGGCCUCACUCGCACGCUAUCGCGAAUCACUUCCCGAUAGGUCACCCAUCCUUCCACUACUCCAGCUCAAGCACGCUUAACUCUGGAGUUCUUUCAGGAUGUGCUCCGGAAAAGGUAAGUCAACUUUGGUGACAUAGGUAGCCAAAUCAAUUCUCUUAAGCCUUUUUUCACAUAUCACAACUCGGGAUGUUACAAACUUGUUAGCUUGUUGAUUUAGGAAACACGGCAUUUAGAAAAUGAAAUGAAAUUGAGAAACCUCCUUUAAUAAUGCACAUGAUGUGCCAACUGCCAAUGCAUAUAUUUGUUGCUCUUUUCAAUUAUACUAAUAGCAUAUAUUAAAUUCCCUUUUUUACAACCGAAUUGACCUCCCAUUUGUUUAUAUGAUUGCACCUGAAAAAGCGUACAAGUCGGUGACCCUUUUUAAUUAUGCGAUUACUAUCAUAUCUUAACUGUAAUAACCUAAUGUUUAAACAAAUGAUAACUAUGUAGACUAAUUUCUUUUUGUGCCACUUUUUCUUCUAAUACCCUUUAGUAUUUUCUAAAAUAAAUCAAAUAAAUAGUUUUACAAAUAAAAAAAUGAGAAAUAGUAACUACUAAUGAAAAACCUAUAUCACUUAUUGGUAUUUUUUUCCAGUUCUAAAAGAAUGUUUAAAUCAUAAUUUUAUAUUAUGUUCUACAAAAAGUAGAAUUGACAUUCUACACAGUAGAAAAUGUAAUCUAUUUUUUUCAUUGAAUCUAAUAUGUUUAGAAAAUGUAAUCUAUUUUUUUCAUUGAAUCUAAUAUAUUUAGAAUAUAUAAACUACGUAAAUAAUAGUAAUCUAAAAAUAUUUAGAAAACACAUUCCGCGCUUAACUUAUCGUUCUAAAAUCUUUAGAAUCUGGAAUCUACGCAUUACUAUAAAUCUAAAACUUGUAGAAAUUGGAAUCUAUACAUUACUAUAAAUCUAAAACUAGUAGAAAUCAAUUUCAAACAUGUUCUUAUGUUCUACAUAUAGUAGAAUAUAUAUUAUAAGGAUAAGGAUAAUCAUUUUCAAAAAUAUGGGAAGAGAAUAUUUGGAAAUAUUCAGUUUCUUUAUAUUGAUUAAAUCGAUUUUUUUUUUUUUAAAAAGAAGAAAAUUGUGAUUUAUAAAAUCAAUUUUUAAAUUAAAAAAAUUAAAACAUCGAUUUGGAAACUUCUUCUUACGCCAUCUUUUUCUCCCCUUUGUCCUUCAAGGAAAAGAGUAAAAUGGGUUUGAUUGAUUAGAAAUCGAGUUUUAAGAGUUCAGCUUGUGUUUGUUUGGUUCAAAUCAAGUGGGAAUCAAACCAAAUUUAACCGAAAAACCAGGAAAUCGAUUUGGAAGACUUACAUGGGCAUGAGAUCGAUCGAUCCCAAAGACACUACCGAUCGAUCGAAGUGGGAUCGAGCUUUUGCGAUUGACUGACCUGGGCUUGGUCGAUCAGUAUAUGCUCUACAUAUUUUUGUUGUUCUGGAUAUAUUUAUCAAGAUCGACCGGUUGCUUACGGGAUCGAUCAAUCCCUUUGAAAAACAACAUUUUGAACUUCAGUUUUUUUUUGGACGAUUUUUAAUAUUUUUUGUAAUUAUUUUAGUUAAAAAUUAUAUUUUAAUAUUUAACAAUUGUUUUAUUAAUUUUAAUUUCGAGUUUUUAAUUGAAAUUAAGGAUAAUAUUGUCAUUUUAAAAAUAUUUAGACUAAUAGAACAUAAAGUAUAUGAGAUUAGCCUAAUAUGACAUAGUUAUCAUUUUUUUGGCCUAGAAAAACAAUUUUCCCAACAAAUUAAUGGGAGAAUUGAGAGUACAUUUCAAUGCUUAUUUGUCUUACAAUGUCCUCAUCACAUAGUCACAGAUCAAAUUACUAUACCAGUUUUCUUAAAACCUAUAAUCAAAAUUACAAUGCAUCACUUUAAAACCAAGUUCUUAUGUUGAUAUAACAUAUUUGAUGUAAACAACAACAAAAGGUUUUUUUUUUUUUUUUUAACAAUAACAAAAAGUUGAAAGCCAAUUUUCAAAAAAAAAAAAAACAAUAACAAAAAGCGUGAUCUGAAGGCCAACGCAAAGAUACGAGGAUGUUUGGACCAGACGCCACGUUCCGUACCGUUGGGUAUUUUGACUUUCUCCCAAUGGGCGGCUCUUAUAUUAUUAUCUUUUUUUUUCCCAACUAAUUUUAUUAAAAUAGGCCAAAGCCUAAGAAACAUAUCCAGUACAAAGCCUACACUGUUAAAACGAAAAGCUAAAAGCCCACAAAAAAUACUCAAUCGGAAAGAAAAUGGACCAGACCUAAACUUCUUCUACACCUUUCGAGCACACGUGUCUAGAUCUCAAAUCCAGAGGACACGCGUCACUCGAUCUCUUCAUCUUCUCAGACGCCGGCGACUUCAAUGGCGUUUCACCCGAUUCACCCCUGAACCAUCAUCAUUCAUCGAUUCCGGAACACACCAGAACCCAUGACCUCAUUCCAUCUUCACCGCAACCGCCUUGACUCAUGCGUAUUCUUUAUCGGAGAGAAUCAAAUCGCUGAAACGAGAUCUCAUCCGUCACCGUUCGAGCACACACCAUAGCAAAACAUCGCGCAGGCCAUAACCAUCUUUCACCGGAGAGCUUCUCUCGUCCUACGACGAGAGCUCAUCCACCAAAUCACAAACGACACCACCUGAACAAAAAUACGAAACCACACCCUAAAGCAGAUCUAGGGAACGAAAAGCCGAAGAGGCAAGGCAAGGAAACCUUCACCCCUCGGUAGCAAAGCCGGAGACGAUUGGAUCUAUAGAAGCCUCCACCUUCUCGGGGUCUUAGCCGGCGACGCGGAGCUGAGGAAGCCUCCAUCUCCCGGAAACUUAGUCGGCGACUACGGAGCUAUAAAAGCCUCCAUAUCCCGGAGCAAACGCUGAACUCAAAAGCUGGCUGUCACAUCGAGCCACCGUCCUACAUCCUCCCCGCGAGGCCAUAGAAAGAGGAGUUACCGCCGUUCAAAGCACACCACGAGCGGGACCUUUUCCGGAGCAAAACCCUAGCCCAGAUCCGCAAAUAUAUCGGAGAGAGACCACAGAUCGGAGCACACAGUUAAAAGAAUGAAACUGAAAUGAACAGAAGGGAGCCACCGGCGCUGGCACGCGCUCGGACGCGCCGCCGGACGCCGGGUCUGCCUUCACACGCUUUUCUCUCUCUCUCUUUUCUCUCAAUGUCUAGAAAUCUUAUAUUAUUAUCUUAUCUACUCGUUUAAUUAGAUAACUAAUUCGGUUAUUAUUAUAAUCUAAUAGUCUAUUUUGAGUCUGGAUCCGAAUCUUCAGACGUCAAUCCUGACGUUACCAUUUUUGAGUUUUGCAGUUGUUUGUUGCUCAGCUAGUCAGCUUUCAGGCAAUAUAUAUAUAUAUAUAUAUAUAUAUUUUUUUUGAACGAGCUUUCAGGCAUUGUUCAAUGUUCCCAAUUCACAAUUUAUUUGGAAGUCACUGCAAUAGACUUUGUCUUCACCUAGAGAUCUUUAAUAUAUAAUUUGUGAAAAUAGAGUCAAUAUUAGUUUCCAUUUUGUUUGUGGAUAAAUAAAGAGAUGACAAAAGUGGCUACGUCAAAGAGUUGAAGAAGUCUAAUGAAAUCAAAUGGAUCUUACAUUGGGUUUAAGGCCGAGAUUGUAAGAAGAACCCUCUUUUUAUUCAAAUCUAAAACCUCAAGUGCUCACCUUCCUCUGUUCUCACUUGUUACCUGCAGGAGAGUGGAGAUGAAUCAAUAAUCACCACAAAGCUCAAUCAUUAAUUAUAAAAACUUAUCACGAAUGUGUAUUUAUAGAUCUGUAUAUCACGUUUUAGUUAAGCGUGUUGUUCUUAAGUAUAUUUUUGGUCAUACAAAACCUUCGAGGACAAAGGGACGGAUUUCCCCCCAAGAUCCUCCAAUGAUGUUUGUGCAUUUGUAACUGAACCUAGAUCUCGAAUCUAGAAAUAUGAUUUUGUACGUGAUCAAAUCUGUAAAAAUAACAAAAUGUAUUAUGUUGGGCACUACUUUGGGUUAUGAAUAUUAUCGGAUUCUUACUCAAAUUUGAACAGAUACUGGAAAAACUUGAAAACUCCGUAAUUAAGUUGAACUAUGUGAUUUUCCCGUGCUCAUGCAUGGAUAGAAAUAUUUACAAAAUAAUUAUAUUAUAAAAUUAUUAAUAUUAUAUUUUUAGUUGAAUUAUUUUGUAAUUUAUAUGUAUAGUUUAUUUUAAAUAAUAUUAUAUUAUUUUAAUUAGAGAUCUAAUUUGGAUAUAGAAUAUCUAGUCUAUUUGGUUAUUACUUUGCUAUAUUGGAUUGUAUCUACUUUUCCAAAUUUAACCAUAAUUUUUUUUUGUGCUGAAAUAGAUUAAUUUUUUUUUUUUUUUUUUUUUUUUUGCAGUUAGACUUUUAAUUUUGGCCAUAAAAUUUUUGAUUCUUUAAGUAACUCAUUUUGUGGGUUAUAUUGAGUUACUCAUAUUUUUUCGAGCUGAAGCACAAUCACUUUUGAUUUUAGUUAAACUAUUUGUGUAAUUUUAUUUGUUGCAUUAGUUCAAUUCUUCUUCUAAAAUAUACAUAUAUAGUUUUGUACAAUUCUUUUGUACAAUUUGAUAUUUGUGGAUUUGUAAAGAGGAAAUUUCAUAUCUACCACUAUCAUGGUACCAUUUUUUAUUUUUACCACCAUUAAAAAUACAUUAUCAAAAUUAUCAUUUUCACUAAGUGACAAAAGACUCUGGAGAAAUUUCAUGUUUUUCACUUUUAUGGUACCAUUUUUCAUCUUUACAUCCACUAAAGGGACAUUUAAAAAAAAUGUCUUUUACAUUAAGUGGCAAAAGACUAUUAUACUCUUGUUCUAUAUAUAUAUAUAAUAAAUCAUUAUUUAAAUAAAUAAUUUUUUUUUUAUGUUUUUGAAUUGAACUUUUUCAAAUUCGAACUUUUUUUUUUAAAUUUGUUUUCUUGAUUUUUUUUUUCAAAUUUUCUUUUUGUAGAUCAAAAAUUAUGUUUGAAAAUAUUUUUUUAAAUAUUUUUUUAAGUAUUUAUUUAUAUAUUUAGAAUCCUAAAUUUCAUAUUCCAAAAACACUACCCCACCCUCAACUCUAAACCCUAAGUCUAGAUUAGUUAACCCUAGGGGUAUAAGUGUCUUUUACCUUUCAUUAAAAGUGAUUAGUGUAGACAUGAAAAUUAGUAGUAUGAAUAUGAUAUUUGUGGCAAUUUCCCAAAGACUCUUAUACAAUUGUUCUAUAUAUAUAUAAUACAUUAUUAUUUAAACAAAAAAUAAAAAUAAAAUUGUUUUAUAUAUAUUUGUGGCAAUUUUUUAUGGUUAAAAUUAUAUUUUUAUGGUUUUGAAUUAUACUUUUUCAAAUUCGAAAUUUUUUAUAAUCUUUUUUAUUUUUUUUUCAAAAUUUCUUUUGUAUAGGGCCAAAUUGUAUAAAAUUGUUUUUUGGAAGUAGUACAUUGUCUACUUAUCAAAAAGUACAAUAUUCCUAACUAACUUAUAUUUUCUAACGUAGGAUUGAAUUCUAAAAAAUAUCAAAAAAUUGUAAAUAAGAAAAAUACUUUAAAUAAGAAAAUUGCAUGUAUGUUUUAUUAAGAUGACCCACUUAUAUAACCAACAUGAGGAUAUUUUAUUUUAUCUUUAUAUAAAACAAGUACUAGAGCUUUUUUCCGCGCUUCGCGCGGAUUAUAUAUUUUUAUCUGUUAUAAUGUAUUUUUUUGCCAAAAAAUAUAAUUGACCUUCUGAAUAUAAUAUAGAAUUUGAAUAUAUUUACAUGUGACAGAUACAAUUUUAAAUGUAAAUCUAUUGUUUAGAAAAGAUAAAUUACAUUGUUUUACCAUUUUUUAAUUGUUUGGCCAUUUUCAAAAAUAGUAUUAUUUGUUUUUACAAUUAAAAUAAACUUAAGAUAUGAUUUUACUGAUAUAUACAAUAUUAUAUAAUAUAUUAUAAAAUACAUAUUAGUUUUAGGUUUCGAACAGAACUCAGGAAAAAAAUGGACUACAAACUCAGAAAUAUGAAUGUUUUCUGUUUACCCAAAGCGAUAAAGUCUUAGUCAUAAUUGAUAUAUUAGCAGUAUACUCAACUAAUAACAUCACACAACGAAUAAUUGUAGUAAUAAAAUAUAUUUUUCUAAUAAAAGUAGACUCAGUUUCAUCGAUGUUUUUAGUAUUAUUUCAAAAGAAUCUAAAAUGUAUGAAAUUGAAUAAUUUGGUAUUAAAUGUUAAUGACUGACGACAAAAAAAAAUGUUAGAGACUGUUAAUUGAAAGAAGAUUAUAAAAAGAGUGGAGAGAAAUAAUAUUAUUUAAUUAAAUGUAUUACAAAAAAAAGAGUGGAGAGAAUAACAUCUAUAUAUAUAAAAUAUUGUUUGCCUCUCUCCUGUGCCUCCACGUCGGAUCCAGCCUGGAAAGUCGAUCAUCUACAGCUUGACACGUCAGAUCCGUUUUGUUACCGAUUCAGCGAAGUGGAUUUUCGAUUGUUCAUGUUUAGUAUGGGCUUUCUGUUUUGGCCCAACAAACAUAAACCGUCUCUGACCUAAUGUUCUAUUUUUUUUUUUUUUUUGAAUGAGUCUGACCUAAUGUUCUUCGGACAAGAGAACGAGAGAGGCGUCCCACAUCCUUCGACGGCGAGAUUCUGACGUUUCCGCUUUCCCUCGCCAAAUGUAACGCUCUGAGUUAAAAUUUCGUGAUUAAUCCACUCAAAUCGCUCCCCCGCAAUGUGUAUUCAAAGCAAUCUUCAAGCUCAGAGGCGGUGUGAUCUAUGUAUAAAUAGGGGGUUUUUUUCUCCGAUCUGAAGUCCAGCAAGUGUACCUCCGUCGUCGAGGCUAGGCUCCUGCAGUUCUGGGAGGCCAGGCACGUUAAACGCGGUGGGGAGCUCAUGUGGGUCGAAAUGCUUCCGGUGGAUAUUAACGUAAGUCUGUUCUUCCUAUUUUUUUUUUUUUUUUUGUAAUUCAACAAUAUUCUGACGAGUUUCGUCGAGCAGAUUAUGUUAUUGUUUCACUUGAGAGAAACUUAUUUGUCUUUGGAGAGUUUAAGGAUUCUCAGAAUCUUUGCAAUUUUAAUACAGUUUUUGAUGAUGAUAUGUAAAGCCAUAACGGUGAAGGCUUCAAUUGCUUUAUCUGACUUCUGAUUUCAAAAUAAAAUAUGAUUGUCGGUUUUUCAUGAUAUAAAUGGGUAUAUUUUCCAAGGUAUUUGACAUUUAAGAAGGGUCAUCAGCUACAUUUUGUGAUGCAGCAAUUUGUUCACGUCCUUACACUGCAUGUUCUUUUUUUCUUUGUUAUGGCUGCAAUAAGAAUCUUGAGCCGUUGAAUGACAUCUACUACCUAAGCACAUGUUUGUCUCGACCUUUCUAUUGGUUAUAACACAAUUUCUUUUGUGCAAGGUUGCUAAUUGCCGUCCUAAUAUUCUUUGCUUAUGGCCAUCAGAUCGUGGAUAUGAUAAACGGUUUGGUCAAACUCCAGGGAGGUUGUCUGUAAAGAAACAAAUGAAGCUAAAUUGUUGAGAGCAGAAAUUAGUUGUGGCUGUAACCAGCAUUGAUGAAUGUGUGUUGUUAACUCUUACGAUUGAAAACAUGUAGCCCUUUUUUAAAUAAGAAUGGAUGUGUAUGGUUCUA
Long non-coding RNA from Brassica rapa (field mustard), 7579 nucleotides. RefSeq lists it as uncharacterized. The record is from RefSeq and is a predicted model, not a curated record. Lineage: Eukaryota; Viridiplantae; Streptophyta; Magnoliopsida; Brassicales; Brassicaceae.